This 45-nucleotide non-coding RNA is filed under the name Schistosoma mansoni. Lineage: Eukaryota; Metazoa; Platyhelminthes; Trematoda; Strigeidida; Schistosomatidae. The record is from RNAcentral.
ACUCAGCUGACGAGUCCCAAAUAGGACGAAACGCGUGCCUUGUGU